CCUACGGGCGGCAGCAGUGAGGAAUAUUGGUCAAUGGGCGCGAGCCUGAACCAGCCAAGUCGCGUGAGGGAGGACGGCCCUACGGGUUGUAAACCUCUUUUGCCGGGGAGCAACGGGCGUCACGUGUGGCGCCACUGAGAGUACCCGGAGAAAAAGCAUCGGUUAAAUCCGGGCCAGCAGCCGCGGUAAUACGGAGGAUGCGAGCGUUAUCCGGAUUUAUUGGGUUUAAAGGGUGCGUAGGCGGAUCGUAAAGUCAGUGGUCAAAUUGAGGGGAUCAACCCCUUCCCGCCAUUGAAACUGGCGUUCUUGAGUGGAAGAGAAGUAUGCGGAAUGCGUGGUGUAGCGGUGAAAUGCAUAGAUAUCACGCAGAACCCCGAUUGCGAAGGCAGCAUGCCGGCUUCCGACUGACGCUGAAGCACGAAAGCGUGGGGAUCGAACAGGAUUAGAUACCCUUGUAGUC
Molecule: ribosomal RNA, 460 nt
Filed under: uncultured bacterium
Lineage: Bacteria
Description: partial 16S ribosomal RNA
Rfam family: Bacterial small subunit ribosomal RNA
Source: RNAcentral